UACGGAGGGUGCGAGCGUUGUCCGGAAUUACUGGGUUUAAAGGGUGCGUAGGCGGCUAUGUAAGUCAGGAGUGAAAGUUUGCGGCUCAACCGUAAAAUUGCUUUUGAUACUGCAUGGCUAGAAUUAGGAUGAGGUCAGCGGAAUGUGGCAUGUAGCGGUGAAAUGCAUAGAUAUGCCAUAGAACACCAAUUGCGAAGGCAGCUGGCUAGACCUGGAUUGACGCUGAGGCACGAAAGCGUGGGGAGCGAACAGG
RNAcentral lists this ribosomal RNA (253 nucleotides) under uncultured bacterium. Its description in RNAcentral is "partial 16S ribosomal RNA". It matches the Rfam family "Bacterial small subunit ribosomal RNA", at positions 524 to 776 of the family's 1533-position model. The record is from RNAcentral.